UACGGAGGGUGCAAACGUUGCUCGGAAUCAUUGGGCGUAAAGCGCACGUAGGCGGCCCUCCUUGUCGCGUGUGAAAGCCCCGGGCUCAACCUGGGAACGGCGCGCGAGACGGGGGGGCUGGAGUUCGGGAGAGGAGCGUGGAAUUCCCAGUGUAGAGGUGAAAUUCGUAGAUAUUGGGAAGAACACCGGUGGCGAAGGCGGCGCUCUGGACCGAGACUGACGCUGAGGCGCGAAAGCGUGGGGAGCAAACAGG
This 253-nucleotide ribosomal RNA is filed under the name uncultured bacterium. Its description in RNAcentral is "partial 16S ribosomal RNA". It matches the Rfam family "Bacterial small subunit ribosomal RNA", at positions 524 to 776 of the family's 1533-position model. The record is from RNAcentral.